Molecule: transfer RNA, 73 nt
Filed under: Felis catus (domestic cat)
Lineage: Eukaryota; Metazoa; Chordata; Mammalia; Carnivora; Felidae
Also listed under: 4 other names
Rfam family: tRNA
About the family: Transfer RNA (tRNA) molecules are approximately 80 nucleotides in length. Their secondary structure includes four short double-helical elements and three loops (D, anti-codon, and T loops).
Source: Rfam by way of RNAcentral
GCCUGGCUGGCUCAGUCGGCACAGCAUAAGACUCUUGAUCUCAAGGUCAUGAGUUCAAGCCCCACACUGGGCA